UGGGGAAUUUUGGACAAUGGGCGCAAGCCUGAUUCAGCAAUGCCGCGUUCAGGAUGAAGGUCUUCGGGUUGUAAACUGCUUCUGUACGGAGCGAAAAGGUCCGCCCUAAUACGGUGGGCUCAUGACGGUACCGUAAGAAUAAGCACUGGCUAACUACGUGCCAGCAGCCGCGGUAAUACGUAGGGUGCGAGCGUCAAUCGGAAUUACUGGGCGUAAAGCGUGCGCAGGCGGUUAUAUAAGACAGAUGUGAAAUCCCCGGGCUCAACCGGGGACCUGCAUUUAUGACUGUAUAGCUAGAGUACGGUAGAGGGGGAUGAAAUUCCGCGUGUAGCAGUGAAGUGCGUAGAUAUGCGGAGAAACACCGAUGGCAAAGGCAAUCCCCUGGACCUGUACUGACGCUCAUGCACAAAAGCGUGGGGAGCAAACA
This 427-nucleotide ribosomal RNA is filed under the name uncultured bacterium. RNAcentral describes it as "bacterial SSU rRNA". It matches the Rfam family "Bacterial small subunit ribosomal RNA", at positions 355 to 774 of the family's 1533-position model. The record is from RNAcentral.